CAGUCGCCACGGUAAUACAGAGGGUGCGAGCGUUAAUCGGAUUUACUGGGCGUAAAGCGUGCGUAGGCGGCUUUUUAAGUCGGAUGUGAAAUCCCUGAGCUUAACUUAGGAAUUGCAUUCGAUACUGGGAAGCUAGAGUAUGGGAGAGGAUGGUAGAAUUCCAGGUGUAGCGGUCAAAUGCGUAGAGAUCUGGAGGAAUACCGAUGGCGAAGGCAGCCAUCUGGCCUAAUACUGACGCUGAGGUACGAAAGCAUGGGGAGCAAACAGGAUUAGAUACCCCAGUAGUCCCUGUCUCUUAUAC
Molecule: ribosomal RNA, 301 nt
Filed under: uncultured bacterium
Lineage: Bacteria
Description: partial 16S ribosomal RNA
Rfam family: Bacterial small subunit ribosomal RNA
Source: RNAcentral